Molecule: ribosomal RNA, 254 nt
Filed under: uncultured bacterium
Lineage: Bacteria
Description: partial 16S ribosomal RNA
Rfam family: Bacterial small subunit ribosomal RNA
Source: RNAcentral
UACGAAGGGGGCUAGCGUUACUCGGAUUGACUGGGCGUAAAGGGCGCGUAGGCGGUUUGUACAGUCAGACGUGAAAUCCCCGGGCUCAACCUGGGAAUUGCGUUGGAGACUGCAAGGCUGGAGUCUGGCAGAGGGGGGUAGAAUUCCACGUGUAGCAGUGAAAUGCGUAGAGAUGUGGAGGAACACCGAUGGCGAAGGCAGCCCCCUGGGUCAAGACUGACGCUCAUGCACGAAAGCGUGGGGAGCAAACAGGG